CCUAGCUCACAUAGAUGUGACACUGCCAUACUCAGUCUGGAUGGAAGUCCUCACCCUGGACUUCUUUCCCUUCUGGCACCUCAGCCUCUGCCUCAAUUAGCCUUUCCUCCCAUCUUCUAGGUGGUUGGUAUUUCUACCCCGGUGGACUACAGACCUUCCACCCUGCUAUGCUGUCCUGGUGGGCAGCCAAGGGAAGCAGCAGGAGAGAGGACCGUUGGGAAUCAGGACAGUCCCCCUCAUAUUUCCAGGAGCUGGAAAGCGGGGUGGUGCACAAGACAUCUGAGUGGCACAGUUCUUCCCAAG
Phascolarctos cinereus (koala) is the source of this 303-nucleotide non-coding RNA. NCBI's taxonomy places the organism in Eukaryota, Metazoa, Chordata, Mammalia, Diprotodontia, Phascolarctidae. The record is from RefSeq and is a predicted model, not a curated record.